AUCCUUUAAAGAGUGCGUAACAGCUCACUAGUCGAAUGACUCUGCGCCGAUAAUUUACCGGGGCUAAGCAUACUACCGAAGCUAUGGAUCCUACGGGAUGGUAGGGGAGCGUUCCAUGAACGGAGAAGUACGACCGGAAGGACGUGUGGAGAUCAUGGAAGAGAGAAUGCCGGUGUGAGUAGCGGAACGUGGGUGAGAAUCCCACGCACCGAAAACCCAAGGAUUCCAGAGGAAGGUUCGUCCGCUCUGGGUAAGUCGGGACCUAAGGCGAGGCCGAAAGGCGUAGUCGAUGGACAACAGGUAGAGAUUCCUGUACUUGUAUAUAUGUGAAGGAAUGACGGAGAGAGAAAGCUGAAGCCAGCGGCUGGAAGAGCUGGUGCAAGCGAGAUAGCGGGAUGGCAGGCAAAUCCGCCAUCCACAACGCGAAGACGUGAUGCGAACGGAAAGCUACGGCGAGUACGGAAGUCAGUGGACGAGCUUCCAAGAAAAGUUUCUAACAUAAGUAUAUGCAACCCGUACCGAAAAUGGACACACAUGGGUGAGGAGAGAAUCCUAAGGUGAGCGAGAGAACUAUAGCUAAGGAACUCUGCAAAAUGACUCCGUAACUUAGGGAGAAGGAGUGCUCAUAGAGAUAUGAGCCGCAGUGAAACGGCCCAAGCGACUGUUUACCAAAAACACAGCUCUCUGCUAAGCCGCAAGGCGAAGUAUAGGGGGUGACGCCUGCCCGGUGCUGGAAGGUUAAGGGGAGGGGUUAACGCAAGUGAAGCCCUGAACUGAAGCCCCAGUAAACGGCGGCCGUAACUAUAACGGUCCUAAGGUAGCGAAAUUCCUUGUCAGGUAAGUUCUGACCCGCACGAAAGGCGUAACGAUUUGGGCGCUGUCUCAGCUGUAGACUCGGUGAAGUCUUAGUACCUGUGAAGAUGCAGGUUACCCGCGACUAGACGGAAAGACCCCAUGGAGCUUCACUGCAGGUUGAUAUUGGGAUUUGAUGCAGCAUGUACAGGAUAGGUAGGAGGCAAUGAGAUGGAUACGCCAGUAUUCAAGGAGCCGCUGUUGGGAUACUACCCCUGUUGUAUUGGAUUUCUAACCGGACGACGUAAGCCGUUGACGGGACAGUGUCAGUCGGGCAGUUUGACUGGGGCGGUCGCCUCCCAAAGAGUAACGGAGGCGCCCAAAGAUACCCUCAGCUUGGAUGGAAACCAAGCGCAGAGUGCAAAGGCAAAAGGGUGUUUGACUGCGAGACCCACAAGUCGAGCAGGGACGAAAGUCGGGCUUAGUGAUCCGGCGGUGCUGAAUGGAAAGGCCGUCGCUCAACGGAUAAAAGCUACCCUGGGGAUAACAGGCUGAUCUCCCCCAAGAGUCCACAUCGACGGGGAGGUUUGGCACCUCGAUGUCGGCUCAUCGCAUCCUGGGGCUGAAGUAGGUCCCAAGGGUUGGGCUGUUCGCCCAUUAAAGCGGUACGCGAGCUGGGUUCAGAACGUCGUGAGACAGUUCGGUCCCUAUCUGUCGUGGGCGCAGGAAAUUUGAGAAGAGCUGUCCUCAGUACGAGAGGACCGGGAUGGACGCAUCAAUGGUGGACCAGUUGUCACGCCAGUGGCAUAGCUGGGUAGCUAAAUGCGGAAGGGAUAAACGCUGAAGGCAUCUAAGUGUGAAACCCACUUCAAGAUGAGAUUUCCCAUUGC
This 1682-nucleotide ribosomal RNA is filed under the name human gut metagenome. RNAcentral describes it as "bacterial LSU rRNA". It matches the Rfam family "Bacterial large subunit ribosomal RNA", at positions 1118 to 2820 of the family's 2925-position model. The record is from RNAcentral.